RNAcentral lists this ribosomal RNA (540 nucleotides) under Triticum aestivum (bread wheat). RNAcentral describes it as "partial small subunit ribosomal RNA". The record is from RNAcentral. Lineage: Eukaryota; Viridiplantae; Streptophyta; Magnoliopsida; Poales; Poaceae.
AUGAGAGGGAGAGAAAGGGGAGAGGAGAGGAGAGGGAGGCCCGGCAGCGGACGGGAGAGGGUGACCGGCGAGGCGUCGGCCUGCGCCCCUCCUCGCGCACGAACCCUAGCUGAGAGACAAAAUGAGGGGGAGAGAGAGAAGGAAGGAGAGGAGGGAGAAAGAGAGAGGAAAGAGGAAAGGGAGGUGCGGCGGCUGACAGGAGAGAGGGUCAUCGGCCGGCGCCGGAGAGGACGGGCCCGACCUGGACGCGACCUGGAGGUUGGCGGUGGCUCGAUCCACUCCUGGGUCGGGAGCUGCGACGAGGCUGGGGCUCGGGCGCGUUGUACGGGAGGAUGUACUCCGCCUCUUCCUCAUGGUGCGGCGGACGGCGACUCUCCCUCUUCUCUGUCGUCGGCGGCCAGCUCAUCCCACUGCCUCGUGCUCGCCGCUGACCACGGAUCCGCCAUGGACGGAGGGUAUCAAGAGGGGAAGAGGGGAAGGACGUCUUCGCCUUCGCAAGCAGCACUGGCGGACGAGCACACACGCAUGUCCUCUUCCUGA